UUACCAUGCAGUCGAACGCCCCGCAAGGGGAGUGGCAGACGGGUGAGUAACGCGUGGGAACAUACCCUUUCCUGCGGAAUAGCUCCGGGAAACUGGAAUUAAUACCGCAUACGCCCUACGGGGGAAAGAUUUAUCGGGGAAGGAUUGGCCCGCGUUGGAUUAGCUAGUUGGUGGGGUAAAGGCCUACCAAGGCGACGAUCCAUAGCUGGUCUGAGAGGAUGAUCAGCCACAUUGGGACUGAGACACGGCCCAAACUCCUACGGGAGGCAGCAGUGGGGAAUAUUGGACAAUGGGCGCAAGCCUGAUCCAGCCAUGCCGCGUGAGUGAUGAAGGCCUUAGGGUUGUAAAGCUCUUUCACCGAUGAAGAUAAUGACGGUAGUCGGAGAAGAAGCCCCGGCUAACUUCGUGCCAGCAGCCGCGGUAAUACGAAGGGGGCUAGCGUUGUUCGGAAUUACUGGGCGUAAAGCGCACGUAGGCGGAUAUUUAAGUCAGGGGUGAAAUCCCGCAGCUCAACUGC
RNAcentral lists this ribosomal RNA (517 nucleotides) under Agrobacterium tumefaciens. RNAcentral describes it as "bacterial SSU rRNA". It matches the Rfam family "Bacterial small subunit ribosomal RNA", at positions 49 to 616 of the family's 1533-position model. Lineage: Bacteria; Pseudomonadati; Pseudomonadota; Alphaproteobacteria; Hyphomicrobiales; Rhizobiaceae. The record is from RNAcentral.